This is a long non-coding RNA of Oncorhynchus tshawytscha (Chinook salmon), 317 nucleotides long. The record is from Ensembl. NCBI's taxonomy places the organism in Eukaryota, Metazoa, Chordata, Actinopteri, Salmoniformes, Salmonidae.
CUAGGAAGAAACCUAGAGAGGAACCAGGCUAUGUGGGGUGGCCAGUCCUCUUCUGGCUGUGCCGGGUGGAGAUUAUAACAGAACAUGGCCAAGAUGUUCAAAUGUUCAUAAAUGACCAGCAUGGUCGAAUAAUAAUAAGGCAGAACAGUUGAAACUGGAGCAGCAGCACAGUCAGGUGGAAGUUGAAACUGGAGCAGCAGCAUGGCCAGGUGGACUGGGGACAGCAAGGAGUCAUCAUGUCAGGUAGUCCUGGGGCAUGGUCCUAGGGCUCAGGUCCUCCGAGAGAGAGAAAGAAAGAGAGAAUUAGAGAGAGCAUA